This 1062-nucleotide long non-coding RNA is filed under the name Carassius auratus (goldfish). RNAcentral's name for it is "lncRNA (ENSCARG00000004038.1)". Lineage: Eukaryota; Metazoa; Chordata; Actinopteri; Cypriniformes; Cyprinidae. The record is from RNAcentral.
AUUUGGUGAGAAAUAAGUGAGUUUUCCGGACACCAGAGGUCAGGCUGUAAAUGAGGGACUUUGUCCUGUGUGACAGGAGUGUCUUGUGAGUGAUGCUCCAGUUCACACUGCAGAGCGAAACAGAAGGAAAUGAGGAGCGCAAGACUGAUCACUCAAGAUGAGCUUAACCUUGAGAAGAAGCCAAUCUCUUAAGAGCCUCUCUGGAGGUCAUAGUUCAUGGUUUUGGGACAGAAGGACACCUGUUUCUCAGCUUGUUGAAAGGUAUGAGAGCUGUGUGGAUCUCACAGAUAUUGACAGAGAAGAGGCAUAUUCCAAGUCAUCCGGCCUGAGAAGAUCAAACCAUGAAGAGAAUAAAGUUGAAAAUCUCUGGAGGAGAUACGAAUCCCUCAGUGGGACAAAUAACACUUUGUCCAGAAGUAUUUCAAUGGACAUGCUGCCCCAGCCAGACCUGGUGGGCCCUAAAGCUCAGAGGGUCUUGUCUGAGUCAAAGAAGUAUGCAAGCAGCCCUCGGCUCAACGUCACACCACAGACCAAAAGCAGCCCAAUGAGUCCCAGUACCUCACAGUGGAGGGAGGCACCGACGGGGUGGGAGAAAGUCUAUUCUGGUGCCACUACUGUCACCAGCGCCAAAAAGGACAAGGCUCAUCAGAAAGAAAAAACCUUCAAUGAGCCAAUGAGAAGAAGGACAAUCAGUGGGGUUCCUGGAUGUGUCACCCGAUCCUCCACUGGACCGAAUGGUAAGUUGAUUAACACAUUAUAAAUACACCUAAUUAUUUGUACAACUAGUGUAAAUGAGGGAGAAUAUAUUUGCCAGUUAUUUCUUCUAGGCUCAGCUGUGAUGCAGGCAGUAACCGUGAGGUCAAAGGUCAUGUGAACUUUAUGCACUAUGUGAGACAAAACCUUGGCAUCUAAAGUCUUCCUACACAAGCAUGCGAUGCCAGCUGUCUGUGUUAAAAAUAUUCCUCAAAUAAUCCUAACAGAAUAGUUUCGAUUUAACGUCACAGACAAAAUCCUGUCUGCAAAGAGUGAGUCGUAUUUCACAGGUUUUCAAUGAGGGCCGAG